RNAcentral lists this long non-coding RNA (1087 nucleotides) under Marmota monax (woodchuck). Lineage: Eukaryota; Metazoa; Chordata; Mammalia; Rodentia; Sciuridae. The record is from RNAcentral.
AUUGAACCCAGGGCCUUGUGCAUGGGAGGCAGCCACUCUACCAACUGAGCUAUAUCCCCAGCCCUAUCUCUUUGUGUUUUUGUGUCUGCUGUUCCUUUGGCUGUAAUAUCCUUCUCCCCUUGUUUGCUUCACCAGCUCCUGUUUAGUUUAAGGAUGACCUUUGUGAAACAUUCUCGGAUAUAUCAGUAUCUCCAUUAUAUGGUGCAGGUCACUUUGCACUGUAGUUCUCAUGGGUGUGUCUAUGCCAUCUAGGUUGUGAGCUCCUCGGGAAUAGGGGUUAUUUCUUAUUCAUUGGUAUUAUUUUCCAGGGUUUUCACAGAUCCAAGUAAAGACAGGCAGGAGUCACUGUAUCAUUGAGCUGCUUGGGCAUGCCACAGUACUCUCCAAGAUCUGUGGAAUUGAGUUGUACAAGAGUCUGUCAAGUGGGAGCUGGGAAUAGUGGGCUCUCUACACAGUGUCCAUGGUGGAAGCUGGGAAAAAGAAAAGACAGUCGCUCACUGCCUGUCAUUUCUAAAUAACAUCGGUAUCCACCUAAUUUUCUAAGCUAGAAGUUUAUAAAUCACUUCUUGUUCCUUCUUCUCCACUUGGCUACUCUCCCCCAAUCUAAUCAGUCACUAAAUCCUGUCAGUUCUACUUUUUAAUGUCCCUGGAGCCUGCUGGCACCUUGCCAUUGUCAUUGCCAAUUCUGUAGUGCAGGCCCUCAUUAUCUCUCAUCUGGAAUCGAUAGCUCCUGACUGGUCUUGCUCUCCAUUCCUCUCGCCCUUUAUUCCACCUCUCUAUCCUCCACACUGCUGCCACAAUGUGCUUUCAAAAGCAAAUCUGAUCGUGGCACCAUCCUGAUGAAAGCAUCCUAGGGUACUCCAUGACCUGAAAGAAGUCCAAAUUCCUUAGCAUCCUCCCUCUCGCAUCAAUUUCUUGCAUCUCAUCCUCACUCUAGCCCAUUAGACAAUACAGUUUCCUAAAAUUACUAUGCUGCAAAGCCCUGGCCAAUGCUAUUUCGCUGCCUCGUCUGCUUGCUUCUCUCCGGGUCGUCAGAUGAACUGCCACCACUUUUCAAGACCCAACUUUAUUAAGAGGAGUACAUGGC